RNAcentral lists this ribosomal RNA (435 nucleotides) under uncultured eukaryote. RNAcentral's name for it is "SSU rRNA". It matches the Rfam family "Eukaryotic small subunit ribosomal RNA", at positions 592 to 1018 of the family's 1831-position model. The record is from RNAcentral.
CAAUAGCGUAUAUUAAAGUUGUUGCAGUUAAAAGCUCGUAGUCGGAUUUCGGGUCGGGCCGAGCGGUCUGCCGAUGGGUAUGCACUGUUUGGCGCGGCCUUCUUUCCGGAGACCGCGGCUACUCUUAACUGAGCGGGCGUGGGAGACGGAUCGUUUACUUUGAAAAAUCAGAGUGUUUCUAGCAGGCAGCCUCGCUCUUGCAUAGGUUAGCAGUGGGAUUAAUUUAAGUAGGACUCUGGUGCUUAUUUUUGGUUUGGUUUACGAACCACCGGGAGUAAUGAAGUUAAAAGGGGCAGUCGAGGGGCACUCGUAUUCCGUCGAGAGAGGUGAAAUUCUCAGACCAAUGGAAGACGAACCACUGCGAAAGCAUUUGCCAGGGAUUGUUUUCACUGAUCAAGAACGAAAGUUAGGGGAUCGAAGAUGAUUAGAUACCGU